This 851-nucleotide long non-coding RNA is filed under the name Coffea arabica (coffee). Its description in RNAcentral is "long non-coding RNA (CARA_LNC007689)". Lineage: Eukaryota; Viridiplantae; Streptophyta; Magnoliopsida; Gentianales; Rubiaceae. The record is from RNAcentral.
UAGAACUUGCGUAAUAUACUAUCAUUCUAUCUCCACGAAGUUCAUACAUGUUGUAGCACGAUACAAUUGAUUUAUGCUUCCAAUUCUAGACUUUGAUACUUUCUAUUUUUUACCAGUUAUUUUGCAUGAAAAUCUCAGUGUUCCUUGGAAUUCUCUUCUUCUUCACUCCCAGGUGUGAAGUGUCCUUCUCUAUGUCUAGAUGCAAAUCUUUAUGUCGUCUCUCCUUAUACUAUCUAAAUUCCUACCCUGCUGACCGUCUUUUAUGGAAUCUGAGAGCUAUUUAUCUUCCCCCGAUAGUGCUUUACCUGCGUCUUCAGUUUUAUAUUUCUCAUUCUUGACCAUGGAUGUUUCCUCCAUCACCAGUGCUCUUUUGCUCCUCUUUUACUAGAAAUAAUGUCUUUGACAGCACAAGAAUCUGUCAAUAGCUGUGAAGGGGGGUCGUGGGUUAAGAAUGGGAAAGCCUCUUUGGUACCUGUAAGAAAGAAGAGAACUUUAAAGAACAAAAAUAAGAAAAAGCUAACUGUCUUUAAGGUUAAGAUAUUUGUUGAUGCUAAAAUUUGUUUUACAUGGCACAUAUGUUUUGUACCAGCUGCAACGGGCCACUCCAUCCAAGCCUUUUAGAACACUACAAAUAAUGGAUUCACAAUGGUUUGUAAGAUGACUACUAAUUUAUUCUUGCUAGUAUUGGUAAAAUAACAAAGGCACAAACAGAAAAACUAAAUGGAAAAAGAAUGAUGAGUUGAGUACACAUACAAAUCUGGUAGCUCAUUAAUUCGAUUGAGAUGGAAUUCAAGAGUGGAUUUACACACCAUCUGUGUUUUUCACAAUCAUCUUCUUCAUCUUCUGCUUCC